This 860-nucleotide ribosomal RNA is filed under the name Pyrenophora graminea. RNAcentral describes it as "partial large subunit ribosomal RNA". It matches the Rfam family "Eukaryotic large subunit ribosomal RNA", at positions 74 to 949 of the family's 3401-position model. Lineage: Eukaryota; Fungi; Ascomycota; Dothideomycetes; Pleosporales; Pleosporaceae. The record is from RNAcentral.
AUUGCCCUAGUAACGGCGAGUGAAGCGGCAACAGCUCAAAUUUGAAAUCUGGCUCUUUUAGAGUCCGAGUUGUAAUUUGCAGAGGGCGCUUUGGCUUUGGCAGCGGUCCAAGUUCCUUGGAACAGGACGUCACAGAGGGUGAGAAUCCCGUACGUGGUCGCUAGCUAUUGCCGUGUAAAGCCCCUUCGACGAGUCGAGUUGUUUGGGAAUGCAGCUCUAAAUGGGAGGUAAAUUUCUUCUAAAGCUAAAUACUGGCCAGAGACCGAUAGCGCACAAGUAGAGUGAUCGAAAGAUGAAAAGCACUUUGGAAAGAGAGUCAAACAGCACGUGAAAUUGUUGAAAGGGAAGCGCUUGCAGCCAGACUUGCUUGCAGUUGCUCAUCCGGGCUCUUUUGCCCGGUGCAUUCUUCUGCAGGCAGGCCAGCAUCAGUUUGGGCGGUGGGAUAAAGGUCUCUGUCACGUACCUCUCUUCGGGGAGGCCUUAUAGGGGAGACGACAUACCACCAGCCUGGACUGAGGUCCGCGCAUUUAUGCUAGGAUGCUGGCGUAAUGGCUGUAAGCGGCCCGUCUUGAAACACGGACCAAGGAGUCUAACAUCUAUGCGAGUGUUUGGGUGUCAAGCCCGAACGCGUAAUGAAAGUGAACGGAGGUGGGAACCCGCAAGGGUGCACCAUCGACCGAUCCUGAUGUCUUCGGAAGGAUUUGAGUAAGAGCAUGGCUGUUGGGACCCGAAAGAUGGUGAACUAUGCUUGAAUAGGGUGAAGCCAGAGGAAACUCUGGUGGAGGCUCGCAGCGGUUCUGACGUGCAAAUCGAUCGUCAAAUUUGGGCAUAGGGGCGAAAGACUAAUCGAAUAUCUAGUA